ACCAGGCGCGGUGACACAUACCUGUAGUCCUAGCUACUUGGGAGGCUUAGGUGGGAGGACCGCUUGAGCCCAGGAGUUCUGGGCUGUAGUGCGCUAUGCCGAUUGGGUGUCCGCACUAAGUUCGGCAUCAAUAUGGUGACCUCCCGGGAGCGGGGAACCACCAGGUUGCCUAAAGGAGGGCGAACCGGCCCAGGUUGGAAACGGAGCAGGUCAAACCUCCCGUGCUGAUCAGUAGUGGGAUCUCGCCUGUGAAUAGCCACUGCACUUCAGCCUGGGCAACAUAGCGAGACUACAUCUCU
This 299-nucleotide signal recognition particle RNA is filed under the name Aotus nancymaae (Ma's night monkey). RNAcentral's name for it is "Metazoan signal recognition particle RNA (ENSANAG00000011354.1)". It matches the Rfam family "Metazoan signal recognition particle RNA". From Rfam's summary of the family: The signal recognition particle (SRP) is a universally conserved ribonucleoprotein. It is involved in the co-translational targeting of proteins to membranes. The record is from RNAcentral. Lineage: Eukaryota; Metazoa; Chordata; Mammalia; Primates; Aotidae.